RNAcentral lists this ribosomal RNA (429 nucleotides) under Chloroflexota bacterium. RNAcentral's name for it is "Chloroflexi bacterium partial 16S ribosomal RNA". It matches the Rfam family "Bacterial small subunit ribosomal RNA", at positions 355 to 776 of the family's 1533-position model. Lineage: Bacteria; Bacillati; Chloroflexota. The record is from RNAcentral.
UGGGGAAUAUUGCACAAUGGGCGCAAGCCUGAUGCAGCCAUGCCGCGUGUGUGAAGAAGGCCUUCGGGUUGUAAAGCACUUUCAGCGGGGAGGAAGGCGAUAAGGUUAAUAACCUCAUCGAUUGACGUUACCCGCAGAAGAAGCACCGGCUAACUCCGUGCCAGCAGCCGCGGUAAUACGGAGGGUGCAAGCGUUAAUCGGAAUUACUGGGCGUAAAGCGCACGCAGGCGGUCUGUCAAGUCGGAUGUGAAAUCCCCGGGCUCAACCUGGGAACUGCAUUCGAAACUGGCAGGCUAGAGUCUUGUAGAGGGGGGUAGCAUUCCAGGUGUAGCGGUGAAAUGCGUAGAGAUCUGGAGGAAUACCGGUGGCGAAGGCGGCCCCCUGGACAAAGACUGACGCUCAGGUGCGAAAGCGUGGGGAGCAAACAGG